GAUUAUAUUGUUAGUGGUAGCCGUUGCUUUUGUGACUGCUAUUAUUUUCAACUCCAAUCUUUGUCUUGUACCUGAGAAGGGAAGAGACAAGUGAACGUGUUAUGUGUUUUUUAUGUGUUUUUCCCUGGGAUUCCCUCGAGAAAAUUUAUUCAAAACAUUUUUUUAUACAAAUCACUGAUUUUUAUUCUCCUCACAAGGAAUUCUCCUCACAAGGAAAUAAUCUUA
This 225-nucleotide unclassified non-coding RNA is filed under the name soil metagenome. Its description in RNAcentral is "partial internal transcribed spacer 1". The record is from RNAcentral.